This 407-nucleotide ribosomal RNA is filed under the name uncultured Alphaproteobacteria bacterium. Its description in RNAcentral is "bacterial SSU rRNA". It matches the Rfam family "Bacterial small subunit ribosomal RNA", at positions 8 to 441 of the family's 1533-position model. Lineage: Bacteria; Pseudomonadati; Pseudomonadota; Alphaproteobacteria. The record is from RNAcentral.
AGAGUUUGAUCCUGGCUCAGAGCGAACGCUGGCGGCAGGCUUAACACAUGCAAGUCGAACGGGCACCUUCGGGUGUCAGUGGCAGACGGGUGAGUAACACGUGGGAACGUACCCUUCGGUUCGGAAUAACUCAGGGAAACUUGAGCUAAUACCGGAUACGCCCUUUUGGGGAAAGGUUUACUGCCGAAGGAUCGGCCCGCGUCUGAUUAGCUUGUUGGUGGGGUAACGGCCUACCAAGGCGACGAUCAGUAGCUGGUCUGAGAGGAUGAUCAGCCACACUGGGACUGAGACACGGCCCAGACUCCUACGGGAGGCAGCAGUGGGGAAUAUUGGACAAUGGGCGCAAGCCUGAUCCAGCCAUGCCGCGUGAGUGAUGAAGGCCUUAGGGUUGUAAAGCUCUUUUGUUU